RNAcentral lists this ribosomal RNA (439 nucleotides) under uncultured bacterium. Its description in RNAcentral is "partial 16S ribosomal RNA". It matches the Rfam family "Bacterial small subunit ribosomal RNA", at positions 338 to 795 of the family's 1533-position model. The record is from RNAcentral.
CCUACGGGAGACUGCAGUAGGGAAUCUUUCACAAUGGGCGAAAGCCUGAUGGAGCAACGCCGCGUGCAGGAUGAAGGCCUUCUGGUUGUAAACUGCUUUUAUAAGCGAGAAAUAUGAUGGUAACUUAUGAAUACGGAUCGGCUAACUACGUGCCAGCAGCCGCGGUCAUACGUAGGAUCCGAGCAUUAUCCGGAGUGACUGGGUGUAAAGAGUGCGCAGGCGGAGGUGCAAGUCAGCGGUAAAAUUGCGGGGCUCAACCCCGUACUGCCGUUGAAACUGCAUCCCUUGAGUGCGCGAGAAGUAUGCGGAAUGCGUGGUGUAGCGGUGAAAUGCAUAGAUAUCACGCAGAACUCCGAUUGCGAAGGCAGCAUACCGGCGCGCAACUGACGCUCAUGCACGAAAGCGUGGGUAUCGAACAGGAUUAGAUACCCUAGUAGUC